CCUACGGGGCGCAGCAGUGAGGAAUAUUGGUCAAUGGACGCAAGUCUGAACCAGCCAUGCCGCGUGCAGGAAGACGGCUCUAUGAGUUGUAAACUGCUUUUGUACGAGGGUAAACGCAGAUACGCGUAUCUGUCUGAAAGUAUCGUACGAAUAAGGAUCGGCUAACUCCGUGCCAGCAGCCGCGGUAAUACGGAGGAUUCAAGCGUUAUCCGGAUUUAUUGGGUUUAAAGGGUGCGUAGGCGGUCGGAUAAGUUAGAGGUGAAAUCCCGAGGCUCAACUUCGGAAUUGCCUCUGAUACUGUCCGGCUAGAGAGUAGUUGCGGUAGGCGGAAUGUAUGGUGUAGCGGUGAAAUGCUUAGAGAUCAUACAGAACACCGAUUGCGAAGGCAGCUUACCAAGCUACUUCUGACGUUGAGGCACGAAAGCGUGGGGAGCAAACAGGAUUAGAUACCCUAGUAGUC
RNAcentral lists this ribosomal RNA (460 nucleotides) under uncultured bacterium. RNAcentral describes it as "partial 16S ribosomal RNA". It matches the Rfam family "Bacterial small subunit ribosomal RNA", at positions 338 to 795 of the family's 1533-position model. The record is from RNAcentral.